AUUACUGGCUUUUCAUUUCUUAUAAAAGGAAAGGCGGGAACUUAUCUUGUAUUAGAAGCUUACUGGAUAGUUUUUCAGUAUCUGAGCAGAUUUUUUUCUGUCAGACUGUGGAAGGAAUCAUUCUUUCAUAAUUACAGCGUUGCUUACAAGUUUAAGUGAUGUAUAUUGUACAGUUAUUUUUCCAGGUUUUGUUGUGACAGUGAUUAUCUACAAUUGGAAGGGAUUCUUAAUUCUUUCUUACUGAGAUGUCAGGUAUUGUAAUCACUAGUCAAAAGGUUAAUUCCAGUUUUCUUCUUGUGGUUGUGUACUUUUGGCUUUUUUUUUUUUGGGCACAAAGCAAUAUUCUGAGUACCAGUCUAGGUCUAUAUCAGUAGACAUCGAUCUUAUUAGUUUAAAUUUACAUGCAAAAAGAGAGAUUAACUGAAUUUUACUUUGCUCUCUGCACAUAUACAUAUAUGCAUGCUGUUGUUAUUUGCUAAAUUUGUUUCAACAACUGGUAUGAUGGUUUUCUGUCAUAUAAUAUGCAGUGUUAUCUAUCUUGCCAGAUAUUAUGACUAUUCUAUUAAAGUAGCGAAAUCUCAGAUUUGCAGCAUGCCACAUAUUUAGAUGAGCAGUUUGUUAAGGUAUCAAAAAUUUUUAAAAAGGGGGUCGGGGGGAACAAUAUUAGAAAACAAGAAAAGAAAAUUAGGUGGACAGUUUGUCAACCUGGACCAGAAUAAUUUCAACUUAUUAUUAACCAUCCUGUUUUCCUUUUAAGAUUUUGUCUUGAAAGAGUAUGAAUUGAGAAUAAAGAACUGAAUUGCCGUGGAAGUAAUGGAGGUAAGGAGGUGAACAACAGAGAUGAAGGAAGAAUUUUUGCUAAAUAUGGUCAAGUUGUGAGAAUAAGUGUUGUUGGGAACUUGCUUUUUGUAAUGGGAAAUUUUGCUACAGAAAAGUCUUGCUUUAUGUUGAAGCUAGGUUCAAAUGGAACUCUUAAAUUUUGCUCUAGUGGAUGUUUGCCAUGAGAACUGUGACAAUAGCUCCCAAGUUGGAAAAACCUUGGAGAAGAUUCAUAAGAGGUGAAUAUCUUUGCUAGCGACAGGGCAGGCAGACUAAAUCUGUUAAAAUUGUCUACCUUGAUGAAUAUGGUUUUGAGUGGUACUUUGAUGCAGGAUGGCACACGUUUUGCCAGGACUUCUCACAUAAAUUGCAAUUUCAUCCGGUGGAUUGAAGAAGACUUGCAGGUUAGCCUACCCUGCAAAAUUAAAGUUCUACCUUUUGUUUUUGUUCAUUCAGAGGCCAGCGUACUCUUGAAGGAUUAUCUGCCAAAGGAAUAAUACCUUAUGCUGAUACAGUGCCACAACUAAAUCAGCAUCUUCUAGCAGGAUGUCCAUUUGGAGAUCAAUCAAUUGGCAAUCACCAACUAAUUCUGCAGGAGGAGAAAUGUGGCAAAGAAGUGCAUAAAAGCACAGUGCUUAUGUCAGCAUCUUGACUCUUGAUCCGGUGUAGUUCUGUUAACAGAAGGAAAGAAUGAUUCAUAUGUUUCAUUGUGCUUGGAACUAUACCAUUGUUGCAUUUGUUAAUUGUGCUGGUCAAACAUAUUGAAAACCUUGAUUGUUUAAUUAUUUGCUUCUGUGAUUGAGACUUAAGAGGCUUCAUGGAUUCCUGUAUAUAUAUUUUUAACACCUGGAAAGAAAUGUUUUGAUAAACUGCUGCUAGGCAGGCUAUAGAUUAAGGCCUGUAUUCCAUUCUUGU
Molecule: long non-coding RNA, 1734 nt
Organism: Diospyros lotus (date-plum)
Lineage: Eukaryota; Viridiplantae; Streptophyta; Magnoliopsida; Ericales; Ebenaceae
Exons: 3
Source: RefSeq, a predicted model, not a curated record